CCUACGGGCGGCUGCAGUGGGGAAUAUUGGACAAUGGGGGGAACCCUGAUCCAGCCAUGCCGCGUGUGUGAAGAAGGCCCUCGGGUUGUAAAGCACUUUCAGUGAGGAAGAACGCCUGGUGGUUAAUACCCAUCAGGAAAGACAUCACUCACAGAAGAAGCACCGGCUAACUCCGUGCCAGCAGCCGCGGUAAUACGGAGGGUGCGAGCGUUAAUCGGAAUUACUGGGCGUAAAGCGCGCGUAGGUGGCUUGAUAAGCCGGUUGUGAAAGCCCCGGGCUCAACCUGGGAACGGCAUCCGGAACUGUCCAGCUAGAGUGCAGGAGAGGAAGGUAGAAUUCCCGGUGUAGCGGUGAAAUGCGUAGAGAUCGGGAGGAAUACCAGUGGCGAAGGCGGCCUUCUGGACUGACACUGACACUGAGGUGCGAAAGCGUGGGUAGCAAACAGGAUUAGAUACCCCAGUAGUC
This 465-nucleotide ribosomal RNA is filed under the name Vreelandella stevensii. Its description in RNAcentral is "partial 16S ribosomal RNA". It matches the Rfam family "Bacterial small subunit ribosomal RNA", at positions 338 to 795 of the family's 1533-position model. The record is from RNAcentral. Lineage: Bacteria; Pseudomonadati; Pseudomonadota; Gammaproteobacteria; Oceanospirillales; Halomonadaceae.